AUAACUUCGUUAAAUUUCUCAUACCAAUAUUUAGGAGAUUUCUUUAAUCCGUAUAGUGACUUAUUUAGUUUUAAUACAUGACCAUCUGGUAUAUUUAAUCCCUGAGGGGGCUUUAAGUAUACAUCUUCAUCUAUCCUACCAUAAAGAAAAGCUCCUUUGACAUCCAUUUGAUGAAUAUUAUAGUCUCUGUGUGCUGCUACUGACAACAACACUCUCAAUGUUUGCAGUUUCAAAACCGGUGAUUUUUUUCUUUCUUCGGGUGCUUCAUCUUUUUCUUCUACAUCUUGGUAAGGAUCGAAGAGUAUGUAACCUGCUGGAGCAUAUCCAAUCAUAAUCAUCUUACGUCCAGUGUUAUCAAGCUUCUGUCUGCACUCUUUUGGUACAUAAUUAUAUGCUAAACUUCCAAAUACUCUCAUGUUUGACACAUUCGGUUUUCUUCCUUCCCAGAGUUCACUUGCAGUAUGGUACCUGUCUGCUGAUGGACUUCGGUUACUAACAUAUGCUGAGUACAAUACAGCAUCUCCCCAAAACUCUUUUCCUAAAGUUGAAUCUAAUAAAAUUGUUCUGGUCUUUUCCAACAACGUUCUAUUCAUUCUCUCUGCUACCCCAUUCAUUUCUGGAUUAUAUGGGACCGUGUACUCCAAUUUAAUUCCUUUGUAAUAACAAAAAUCUUGAAAUUCUUUAUUUACAUAUUCCUUACCGUUAUCUGAUCUAAGUUUUAAGAUGUUCCUAUUAAAAUGGUUUGUAACAUAAUAA
Melitaea cinxia (Glanville fritillary) is the source of this 756-nucleotide long non-coding RNA. RefSeq lists it as uncharacterized. NCBI's taxonomy places the organism in Eukaryota, Metazoa, Arthropoda, Insecta, Lepidoptera, Nymphalidae. The record is from RefSeq and is a predicted model, not a curated record. The transcript has 3 exons.